RNAcentral lists this long non-coding RNA (2618 nucleotides) under Xyrichtys novacula (pearly razorfish). The record is from RNAcentral. Lineage: Eukaryota; Metazoa; Chordata; Actinopteri; Labriformes; Labridae.
GCUUAUUUUGACGCUCUCUGUCUCUUCUCCUCCUCCUCUCUCUCUCUCUCUCUCUCUCUCUCACACACACACACUCUCCCUCUUUCUCUUUAUGUGUGUGUGUGUGUGUGUGUGUGUGUGCCUGUCUCUUUUGCACGGUGUUCUUGUGUGUUCCUCGGACUGAAACGGAUAAAGGCAGGGGGAGUGAGAGAGAAGAAGAGAGAGAGAAGUGCGAGAGAAAGGGGAGGAGGAAUAUAUACGUAAAAUGUGGAAGAGGAUGGACGUACGCGUGUGUUUGUGAGUGCGUGUGUUUGUCACCAGUAAAAUAAUAAUAAUGAUCAGCACCUGGGAUUAAACUCCAAAGUGUGUGAGUGUGUGUGUACAGUAUUUGGGCCCAUGUUUACAGUAUCCACGUGUUUACUUCUGUGCGUAAAUCUAAAACGCAGUGCAGAAGAAAUCCCAACUACUCACCAGGAGAAAAAAGAGAGAGACCCGGAUGGUCGGAAAGGAAAUGCUUGGUCUUAAAAGAGGGGGAAAGUGUGAAUCAGAUGUAACAGAGCGUUUGCAGCUCAAGAGGAACUCCUAAUUCAUUCUGUCAAGUUUGAGAGGAUGUGUGUGUUUGUCACAAUGUGAUGAUGCCAUUUUAAAAAUGCCAGCGUGUGAAAUAAUUAGCUGCUAAGUUGGUGAAGUUUCUGACAAAGUUGAAACCUGUUGCUUAUAUGCACCCAACAUAACAGCAACCUGAUAACAUCCCCCAUGCGCCCCUUGCAGCAUUUCAUCCCAGCGUAAUCCUCCCCAUCUCCAAAAAUGUAAACACAGCAACACUGAGCAGAUCUGCACAAACAAACUGAAUUUAAUUACUUUGUUCAUUUAUUAAAUUCAGAUAGGUUUUAAUAGACAUCCCAACAGUGUGAUUAUGUCAACAUAUGGGAGGCCAUGCAUGCAGCAAGGCCCGGGCUUACAUACCUGAUAACGCCUGGGCUUUUCAGCAAUAUUUACGGCUUCUCUUUCUAAUACACUCCAGAUGGUGUGUGAGUGUGCCACCGCAGCCAGCGAGCCUCUCCAUUUUUUUUUUUUUUUUUUUUACUCAGCAGCAUUUUGUUGCAAUUACAUCAACGCUCAGACCCAAUUUAUUGCUGACCCAUUUUAGGAGCAUUAUAUGUAAAAUUUUGAAAAAAAUGAUUCAUAUGUGGAGGGAAAAAAGUUUGGCUUUACUUUACCGUUUCUUCACACUGAACUCUAAACUUUAAAAAGAAAACAAGGGGGAAAAGAAAUCCCAUUAAAAUAUAUUGCUCAAAUAGUCCUCAUUCCAUGGUGUGAUGGAUUAAUAUGUUAUGGAGACAAAACACACAGGCCGCAUUCAUGCCUGACCAAUCUUUGUUGUAGCCUGUGCGCUUUUUUUCAGCCAGUCACUCAGGCAGAAUAAUGCCUGUAAAGAUAUAAUCCACUGAGCCUAUGGCCUCUGUAGUCCUCUGCUAUAUUAUCCACUGACAAUGGAUUUGGAAAGCUUUUUAAGCAAGUAACCAAACUCUCCACUAAACACAUGAGAAUGCCAAGGAUUUGGUUAAUGGACUAAUUCCCUUCAUGUUUUAUUAGCUUAGUGAUAAAACUAGUGUGUUAUUUUUUGUUGUUGUAGAAAUAGUAAAUUUUAGGAAGUUUUAAUCAAUUAAUUUAAAACCUGCUACUUAAAAAUUAUGGGUUAGAAAUUAGUCCAAUUUGCAUAAAUUUGCAUAAAGUGUGACUCAUGAUGCUGUUGCACACCGGUGCGUAAAAGACUGAGGACAUCUAUCUAUCAAUCUAUAUAUUAAUCUCUUCACUUUGAUCUCAUCAGUGGGGUGUUACGGGUGUUUUGUUGCAGCUCAGGUUGUUGCUCUCUGUGUUUACCUGCGCUGCUCUCAGACAGGAGGCUGCUGUAGGUCUAUUAUGAUUGACUGAAACCAUGCAUUGAAGGGUAUUUUUCAUCUGUGCCACGGGGAACCGCUCCUUACAGUCCUCAGGUUUCCCUCUCUCUCUCUCUCUCGUUGAUAAAUACAUGUCUUUUUUCCAUCUUACUCAGCACCAUCCAUCAAAUUUGUAUGUCCAUGUUCCACUGCUGUUAUAGAGGGAGGAAGGGAGGGGGGGUUGAAACAGAAGCUCUAAAUCUUCAGCAGUGGAUAAACGUCUCUCCAUCUCUGCAUACUCCAUAAUGAGUUGAUCAUUGGCGGCUGUGUUCUGCUCAUAUUAGCGCACUGAACGGUCAGACUAUGCCAGAGUCAGAGAUUUCAGAGUGGUCUUCCUCUAUGCUCCGUGGGUUAAUAACCUCUUCACGCGCUAUAACCACUGUGUUUUGAUCCCGGUAAUACGUUGGAUGGAGUAUUUCUCUGGCUUGCUCACGGCUUUGGACCACUCUACACAAGACCAGUCGCCCUGUGGUUGCAAACUCUUUGUGGCCCCACAUACCGCCGCUGUGAUUAUAGAAGUGGCUCCUCUCCCUUGUUAAAGGAGCAAAGGCUCUAAUCUAGCCUCUGUGUCGCCCCCAAAGCCAGCGUGCUAUAGUGGAAAUGCGCGUAAAGGAGUGAGUGGGGGUCGGUCGAAGCGAGAGGAGAAGAGGGGAAGAGGGGAAGGAGAGGGGGGGAGUAUAACGGAGUAGCCCUUUCCCU